UUUUAAAGUCUAUUAAAAUGGUGUAGGAUGACUAUAAUAAGAGAGAGAAAAAAUUAGAAGGGUGUAGGUUGACUUUAAUAAGAAAGAGAAAAAGUUAGAGAGAUGCAGAAUGACUUUAUGAAGAAAGAGAAAAUAUUAAAAUAAUAUUAAUUAAGGUUAACAUGGUAAUUUUGGGAGGUGUAGGAUGAAAGCUUGGAGGUGUAGGAUGAAACACCCUUGGAUGGUUGAUAGUGUACCGAAACAUUAAAUAAGCCCAACAAACCUUGAUAGUAUGAUGGGCCCAUGAUCGCGGAGGCAGUGGUGAGGCUGAUGUUGAUACGGAGCCCAUCUAUAUUUCUGUAAUAAUAUCUUUUCUCCUUCGUUCAAUUCUUUCGAUGAUAUCUUAAAA
RNAcentral lists this long non-coding RNA (388 nucleotides) under Vigna radiata. RNAcentral describes it as "long non-coding RNA (VRAD_LNC007641)". The record is from RNAcentral. Lineage: Eukaryota; Viridiplantae; Streptophyta; Magnoliopsida; Fabales; Fabaceae.